AACGAACGCUGGCGGCGCGUUUAAGCAUGCAAGUCGAGCGGCAAGGGCCUUCGGGCCCUAGAGCGGCGGACGGGUGAGUAACACGUGGACAAUCUGCCCCCCGGCCCGGGAUAGCCCAGGGAAACCUGGAUUAAUACCGGAUGAGACGGGACCCGCGAUGGCGGGACCCGGGAAAGGCGCUGCGGCGCCGCCGGGGGAUGAGUCUGCGUCCCAUUAGCUAGACGGCGGGGUAACGGCCCACCGUGGCGACGAUGGGUAGCCGGCCUGAGAGGGUGGACGGCCACAUUGGAACUGAGACACGGUCCAGACUCCUACGGGAGGCAGCAGCUAAGAAUCUUCCGCAAUGGGCGAAAGCCUGACGGAAGCGACGCCGCGUGAACGAAGAAGGCCGUGAGGUUGUAAAGUUCUUUUCGGGAGGGGGAACAACCGUGGCAGGGAAUGGCCGCGGGAUGACGUGAAUCCCGGAAUAAGCCCCGGCUAACUACGUGCCAGCCGCCGC
RNAcentral lists this ribosomal RNA (499 nucleotides) under uncultured bacterium. Its description in RNAcentral is "bacterial SSU rRNA". It matches the Rfam family "Bacterial small subunit ribosomal RNA", at positions 28 to 518 of the family's 1533-position model. The record is from RNAcentral.